AGUGGUAUAGUUCCGUGGUAGAACUCAUGGUUAGCAUGCAUGAGGUCCUGGGUUCAAUCCCCAGCACCUCCA
Molecule: transfer RNA, 72 nt
Filed under: Camelus bactrianus (Bactrian camel)
Lineage: Eukaryota; Metazoa; Chordata; Mammalia; Artiodactyla; Camelidae
Also listed under: 2 other names
Rfam family: tRNA
About the family: Transfer RNA (tRNA) molecules are approximately 80 nucleotides in length. Their secondary structure includes four short double-helical elements and three loops (D, anti-codon, and T loops).
Source: Rfam by way of RNAcentral